RNAcentral lists this ribosomal RNA (496 nucleotides) under uncultured bacterium. RNAcentral's name for it is "partial 16S ribosomal RNA". It matches the Rfam family "Bacterial small subunit ribosomal RNA", at positions 28 to 507 of the family's 1533-position model. The record is from RNAcentral.
GACGAACGCUGGCGGCGUGCCUAAUACAUGCAAGUUGAGCGAUGAAGAUUGGUGCUUGCACCACUUUGAUUAGCAGCGAACGGGUGAGUAACACGUGGGGAAUCUGCCUUUGAGCGGGGGACAACAUUUGGAAACCAGUGCUAAUACCGCAUAACAAAUUUAAACAUAAGUUUUAAGUUUGAAAGAUGCAAUUGCAUCACUCAAAAAUUAUCCCGCGUUGCAUUAGCUAGUUGGUAAGGUAAAGGCUCACCAAGGCGAUGAUACGUAGCCGACCUUAGAGGGUGAUCGGCCAAACUGGAACUGAGACACGGUCCAGACUCCUACGGGAGGCAGCAGUAGGGAAUCUUCCGCAAUGGGCGAAAGCUUGACGGAGCAACGCCGCGUGAUUGAUGAAGGUCUUCGGAUCGUAAAACUCUGUUAUUAGGGAAGAACAAAUGUGUAAGUAACUAUGCACGUCUUGACGGUACCUAAUCAGAAAGCCACGGCUAACUACGUG